GCCAGACUCCUACGGGAGGCAGCAGUGGGGAAUAUUGGGCAAUGGGCGAAAGCCUGACCCAGCAACGCCGCGUGAAGGAAGAAGGCUUUCGGGUUGUAAACUUCUUUUGACAGGGAAGAGCAGAAGACGGUACCUGUCGAAUAAGCCACGGCUAACUACGUGCCAGCAGCCGCGGUAAUACGUAGGGGGCAAGCGUUAUCCGGAUUUACUGGGUGUAAAGGGAGCGUAGACGGCAUGGCAAGUCAGAUGUGAAAGCCCGGGGCUCAACCCCGGGACUGCAUUUGAAACUGUCAGGCUGGAGUGCAGGAGAGGUAAGUGGAAUUCCUAGUGUAGCGGUGAAAUGCGUAGAUAUUAGGAGGAACACCAGUGGCGAAGGCGGCUUACUGGACUGUAACUGACGUUGAGGCUCGAAAGCGUGGGGAGCAAACAGGAUUAGAUACCCUUGUAA
This 448-nucleotide ribosomal RNA is filed under the name uncultured bacterium. RNAcentral describes it as "bacterial SSU rRNA". It matches the Rfam family "Bacterial small subunit ribosomal RNA", at positions 330 to 793 of the family's 1533-position model. The record is from RNAcentral.